Molecule: transfer RNA, 114 nt
Filed under: Soboliphyme baturini
Lineage: Eukaryota; Metazoa; Nematoda; Enoplea; Dioctophymatida; Soboliphymatidae
Rfam family: tRNA
About the family: Transfer RNA (tRNA) molecules are approximately 80 nucleotides in length. Their secondary structure includes four short double-helical elements and three loops (D, anti-codon, and T loops). Further hydrogen bonds mediate the characteristic L-shaped molecular structure. tRNAs have two regions of fundamental functional importance: the anti-codon, which is responsible for specific mRNA codon recognition, and the 3' end, to which the tRNAs corresponding amino acid is attached (by aminoacyl-tRNA synthetases). tRNAs cope with the degeneracy of the genetic code in two manners: having more than one tRNA (with a specific anti-codon) for a particular amino acid; and 'wobble' base-pairing, i.e. permitting non-standard base-pairing at the 3rd anti-codon position.
Source: Rfam by way of RNAcentral
GACAGCGUGGCCGAGUGGUCUAAGGCGCUAGACUCAAGAGCAAAUCUUUCCUUCAGUGAAGGUGAGCAUUCUAGUCAACGAUUGUUGGCGUGGGUUCGAAUCCCACCGCUGUCA